GGGGAUGUGGCUCAGUGGUAGAGCGUCCGCUUUGCAUUCUUCAUGCAUGCGGAAGGCCCAGGUUUCGAUCACCUGCUUCUCCA
This 83-nucleotide transfer RNA is filed under the name Clathrospora elynae. It matches the Rfam family "tRNA". Rfam says of the family: Transfer RNA (tRNA) molecules are approximately 80 nucleotides in length. Their secondary structure includes four short double-helical elements and three loops (D, anti-codon, and T loops). Further hydrogen bonds mediate the characteristic L-shaped molecular structure. tRNAs have two regions of fundamental functional importance: the anti-codon, which is responsible for specific mRNA codon recognition, and the 3' end, to which the tRNAs corresponding amino acid is attached (by aminoacyl-tRNA synthetases). tRNAs cope with the degeneracy of the genetic code in two manners: having more than one tRNA (with a specific anti-codon) for a particular amino acid; and 'wobble' base-pairing, i.e. permitting non-standard base-pairing at the 3rd anti-codon position. Lineage: Eukaryota; Fungi; Ascomycota; Dothideomycetes; Pleosporales; Diademaceae. The record is from Rfam by way of RNAcentral.